GUGGGGAAUCUUAGACAAUGGGCGCAAGCCUGAUCUAGCCAUGCCGCGUGAGUGAUGAAGGCCCUAGGGUUGUAAAGCUCUUUCAGCUGGGAAGAUAAUGACGGUACCAGCAGAAGAAGCCCCGGCUAACUCCGUGCCAGCAGCCGCGGUAAUACGGAGGGGGCUAGCGUUGUUCGGAAUUACUGGGCGUAAAGCGCGCGUAGGCGGACUGAAAAGUUGGGGGUGAAAUCCCGGGGCUCAACCUCGGAACUGCCUUCAAAACUAUCAGUCUGGAGUUCGAGAGAGGUGAGUGGAAUUCCGAGUGUAGAGGUGAAAUUCGUAGAUAUUCGGAAGAACACCAGUGGCGAAGGCGACUCACUGGCCCAAUACUGACGCUGAGGCGCGAAAGCGUGGGGAGCAAACAGGAUUAGAAACCCGUGUAGUCC
This 425-nucleotide ribosomal RNA is filed under the name uncultured bacterium. Its description in RNAcentral is "partial 16S ribosomal RNA". It matches the Rfam family "Bacterial small subunit ribosomal RNA", at positions 354 to 796 of the family's 1533-position model. The record is from RNAcentral.